GAUGAACGCUAGCUACAGGCUUAACACAUGCAAGUCGAGGGGAAACGACAUUUAGUGCUUGCACCGAAUGGACGUCGACCGGCGCACGGGUGAGUAACGCGUAUCCAACCUACCCAUUACUGUGGGAUAACCUGCCGAAAGGCAGACUAAUACCGCAUAGUCUUCGAUGACGGCAUCAGAUUUGAAGUAAAGAUUUAUCGGUAAUGGAUGGGGAUGCGUCUGAUUAGCUUGUUGGCGGGGUAACGGCCCACCAAGGCAACGAUCAGUAGGGGUUCUGAGAGGAAGGUCCCCCACAUUGGAACUGAGACACGGUCCAAACUCCUACGGGAGGCAGCAGUGAGGAAUAUUGGUCAAUGGGCGCGAGCCUGAACCAGCCAAGUAGCGUGCAGGAUGACGGCCCUAUGGGUUGUAAACUGCUUUUGUAUGGGGAUAAAGUCAAUCACGUGUGAUUGUUUGCAGGUACCAUACGAAUAAGGACCGGCUAAUUCCGUGCCAGCAGCCGCGGUAAUACGGAAGGUCCGGGCGUUAUCCGGAUUUAUUGGGUUUAAAGGGAGCGUAGGCCGGAGAUUAAGUGUGUUGUGAAAUGUAGACGCUCAACGUCUGACUUGCAGCGCAUACUGGUUUCCUUGAGUACGCACAACGUUGGCGGAAUUCGUCGUGUAGCGGUGAAAUGCUUAGAUAUGACGAAGAACUCCGAUUGCGAAGGCAGCUGACGGGAGCGCAACUGACGCUUAAGCUCGAAGGUGCGGGUAUCGAACAGG
Molecule: ribosomal RNA, 761 nt
Filed under: Prevotella melaninogenica
Lineage: Bacteria; Pseudomonadati; Bacteroidota; Bacteroidia; Bacteroidales; Prevotellaceae
Description: bacterial SSU rRNA
Rfam family: Bacterial small subunit ribosomal RNA
Source: RNAcentral